Glossina fuscipes fuscipes is the source of this 47-nucleotide non-coding RNA. The record is from Rfam. Lineage: Eukaryota; Metazoa; Arthropoda; Insecta; Diptera; Glossinidae.
CAUGCGGUUCUAAUUAGAACCACAGAUUUUUUUUAUAUAAUUAUUAU